RNAcentral lists this ribosomal RNA (503 nucleotides) under uncultured bacterium. Its description in RNAcentral is "partial 16S ribosomal RNA". It matches the Rfam family "Bacterial small subunit ribosomal RNA", at positions 30 to 523 of the family's 1533-position model. The record is from RNAcentral.
AUUGAACGCUGGCGGCAGGCUUAACACAUGCAAGUCGAGCGGGGUGAUGGUGCUUGCACUAUCACUUAGCGGCGGACGGGUGAGUAAUGCUUAGGAAUCUGCCUAUUAGUGGGGGACAACAUCUCGAAAGGGAUGCUAAUACCGCAUACGUCCUACGGGAGAAAGCAGGGGAUCACUUGUGACCUUGCGCUAAUAGAUGAGCCUAAGUCGGAUUAGCUAGUUGGUGGGGUAAAGGCCUACCAAGGCGACGAUCUGUAGCGGGUCUGAGAGGAUGAGCCGCCACACUGGGACUGAGAGACGGCCCAGACUCCUACGGGAGGCAGCAGUGGGGAAUAUUGGACAAUGGGGGGAACCCUGAUCCAGCCAUGCCGCGUGUGUGAAGAAGGCCUUAUGGUUGUAAAGCACUUUAAGCGAGGAGGAGGCUCCUUUGGUUAAUACCCAAGAUGAGUGGACGUUACUCGCAGAAUAAGCACCGGCUAACUCUGUGCCAGCAGCCGCCGUAA